This 2748-nucleotide ribosomal RNA is filed under the name Triticum aestivum (bread wheat). Its description in RNAcentral is "partial small subunit ribosomal RNA". Lineage: Eukaryota; Viridiplantae; Streptophyta; Magnoliopsida; Poales; Poaceae. The record is from RNAcentral.
AUGCUCCAGAGAUGCCGCUUACUCCGGCCUGUUUCCUUCCGCCGCCGCCCCAUCCACUCCUCCGCUCCGCCCCAAGCCGACGGCGAGGUCGGCGCCGCGACCGACCCCACUCUACUGGGCCGUCUCACUCGCCUCCUCCUCCUCCACCGCUUCCCCGCCGUUUCCCGCCUCCUCUCCUCCUCCCCGCUCACACACGCACUCCUCCACGCCGCCCUCCGCCGCGUCCGCCUCGACCCGGACGCCGCCCUCCACCUCUUCCGCCUUGCUCCGUACCGCCCGUCCCUCCUCGCCCACGCCCAGCUCCUCCACAUCCUCGCCCACGCCCGCCGCCUGCCCGCCGCGCGUGACCUCGUCGCCUCGCUCCUCUCCGCCCGCUCCAGCUCCGCAGCCCCGUCCCUCUUCCCCCACCUCGCCGAGGUGUACAAAGACUUCUCCUUCUCCGCCGCCUCCUUCGACCUGCUCCUCCGAGCCCACGCAGACGCUGGCCAGCUUACCGACGCCCUCCACGUGUUCGAUGAAAUGGGGAAGUUUGGGUGCCGUCGCACCCUGCGAUCCUGCAACCGCCUGCUUAACCAGCUAGUGCAGGCUGGGGAUGUGGGCACCGCGGUGGCUGUGUUUGAGCAGAUGCGGUGCGAUGGUACCCUGCCGGACGAGUUCACGGUGGCCAUCAUGGCGAAGGCAUACUGCAGGGAUGGGAGGGUGACACAGGCAGUGGAUUUCGUGCAGGACAUGGAGAGGAUGGGCGUGGAGGUGAACCUGGUGGCAUAUCAUGCGGUUAUGGAUGGGUAUUGCGGAGUAGGACAGACCGAGGCUGCGAGAAGGGUUUUGCUGUCACUGGAGUCUAAGGGUCUGUCACCGAAUGUGGUGACAUAUACCUUACUUGUAAAGGGUUACUGCAAGGAGGGGAGGAUGGAGGAGGCUGAGAGGGUUGUAAGGGAAAUGACAGAAAAUGAGAAGAUUGUGGUUGACGAGGUAGCCUAUGGUGCGGUGAUCAAUGGCUAUUGCCAAAGGGGAAGAAUGGAAGAUGCCAACAGGGUAAGAGCUGAGAUGAUUGAUGUCGGACUGCAGGUUAAUUUGUUUGUGUACAACACACUGAUCAAUGGAUAUUGCAAGUUGGGGAGGAUGGUUGAAGUAGAGGAACUUUUACAGGAAAUGGAGGAUAGAGGGGUGCGUCUGGAUAAAUAUAGUUACAAUACUCUAGUAGAUGGGUAUUGCAGAAAUGGUUCCAUGAACAAGGCAUUUGGAACCUGUGAUAUGAUGGUAAGGAAUGGGUUCGCAGGGACAACACUAACAUAUAACACGCUAUUGAAUGGUUUUUGCUCGUGUGGUGCUAUUGAUGAUGCACUUAAAUUGUGGUUCUUGAUGUUGAAGAGGGGAGUAGCGCCUAAUGAAAUUAGCUGUAGCACACUGUUGGAUGGUUUCUUCAAAGCAGGUAAAACCGAGAAGGCCUUGAACCUUUGGAAGGAAACCUUAGCAAGGGGUUUGGGGAGAAACGUGGUUACAAUUAACACGGUUAUUAAUGGGUUGUGUAAGAUUAGGAGGAUGGUUGAAGCAGAGGAGCUAUUUGGUAGGAUGAAGGAAUGGAGGUGUCCUGCUGACAGCUUGACUUACAGAACACUAAUUGAUGGUUACUGUAAAAUAGGUGACCUGGAUAGAGCUACUCAAAUUAGGGUUGACAUGGAACAUUUAGGCUUUGUUCCUUCAGUUGAAAUGUUCAAUUCUUUCAUAACCGGAUUCUUUGUAGCUAGGCAAAGUGGCAAGGUGAAUGAUAUCGUUGUUGAAAUGACUGCAAAGGGACUUUCUCCUAAUACAGUCACUUAUGGAGCCCUGAUAGCUGGAUGGUGUAAUGAGGGCAAUCUGCAUGAUGCCUAUAAUUUGUAUUUUGAAAUGGUCGAGAAAGGUCUGGCUCCAAAUCUCUUCAUCUGCAGUGCUUUAGUGAGCUGUUUCUAUAGACAGGGAAAGGUUGAUGAGGCAAAUUUGGUGUUGCAAAAGCUUGUCGGUACAAACAUGAUUCCAGACUGCAGUGCAAGCACGCUUGAUAUUGGUAAAGUAGCACAUGUCAUUGAAUCUCUUGCUGGUGGAAAUCACCAGUCUGCAAAAAUUAUGUGGAACAUUGUUAUUUUUGGGCUGUGCAAAUUGGGUAGAGUUUCAGAUGCUAGAAAUUUGUUUGAGGAUCUGAAAGUAAAGGGAUUCGUUCCUGAUAACUACACUUAUUCUAGCCUCAUUCAUGGUUGCUCUGCCUCAGGUUUUGUCGAUGUAGCUUUUGGCCUGAGGGAUGCGAUGUUGGGCGUCGGUCUUACUCCAAAUAUUGUAACAUACAAUUCUCUCAUCUAUGGCCUCUGCAAGUCUGGGAAUGUUCAAAGGGCAGUUAGUCUUUUCAGUAAGUUGCAAUCAAAGGGUAUGUCCCCUAAUGCUAUCACCUAUAAUACCCUGAUUGAUGGACAUUGCAAGGAUGGUAAUACAACUGAAGCCUUCAAGUUAAAACAAAAGAUGAUCGAGCAAGGUAUUCAGCCUAAUGUAUUCACCUAUUCUAUACUGAUCCAUGGUCUCUGUACUCAAGGGUAUAUGGAAGAAGCAAUCAAGCUUCUGGAUCAAAUGAUUGAGAAUAAUGUGGAUCCAAAUUAUGUUACAUAUUGGACACUGAUUCAAGGUUAUGUUCGGUGUGGUAAUAUGAAAGAGAUUUCCAAGCUUUACAAUGAGAUGCAUAUCCGUGGACUUCUGCCUGCCAAUGAUGUUGGUCAGUUAUGA